Rosa chinensis is the source of this 204-nucleotide long non-coding RNA. RefSeq lists it as uncharacterized. NCBI's taxonomy places the organism in Eukaryota, Viridiplantae, Streptophyta, Magnoliopsida, Rosales, Rosaceae. The transcript is spliced from 3 exons. The record is from RefSeq and is a predicted model, not a curated record.
CGCUUCCCAUCUCUGACUUCAAGACCUGGACGCUUUCAAGUUUCCUAUUCGUUUAAAACAUCCAUUAGUUAAAAAGGCUGCUCAUCUUCAAGUCAGCAGUGCAAAAUUUGCAAUUAAUUUUGGCAACCCAAAGUCAAGAGCUUGAUAUUACCAGAAAACUUGCAUCUCACUAUGGAUAAGAGUUGGAUAAACUUAGGCAACAGA